This 729-nucleotide ribosomal RNA is filed under the name uncultured bacterium. Its description in RNAcentral is "bacterial SSU rRNA". It matches the Rfam family "Bacterial small subunit ribosomal RNA", at positions 100 to 825 of the family's 1533-position model. The record is from RNAcentral.
GACGGGUGAGUAACACGUAGGAAUCUGCCUUAGAGUGGGGGAUAGCCUGGGGAAACCUAGGGUAAUACCGCAUAACAUCUACGGAUUAAAGCUGGGGACCUUUUAGGCCUGGCGCUCUAAGAUGAGCCUGCGUCAGAUUAGCUAGUUGGUGGGGUAAAGGCCUACCAAGGCGAUGAUCUGUAGCUGAUUUGAGAGGAUGAUCAGCCACACUGGGACUGAGACACGGCCCAGACUCCUACGGGAGGCAGCAGUGGGGAAUUUUGGACAAUGGGCGAAAGCCUGAUCCAGCAAUACCGCGUGUGUGACGAAGGCCUUCGGGUUGUAAAGCACUUUCAGUUGUGAAGAAAAAGCAUGAGUUAAUAGCUCAUGCCCAUGACGUUAGCAACAGAAGAAGCACCGGCUAACUCUGUGCCAGCAGCCGCGGUAAUACAGAGGGUGCAAGCGUUAAUCGGAAUUACUGGGCGUAAAGAGCGCGUAGGUGGUUAAUUAAGUCACAUGUGAAAUCCCCGAGCCCAGCUCGGGAACUGCAUGUGAUACUGGUUAACUAGAGUAUAGUAGAGGGAAGUGGAAUUUCCGGUGUAGCGGUGAAAUGCAUAGAUAUCGGAAGGAACAUCAGAGGCGAAGGCGACUUCUUGGGCUAUAACUGACACUGAGGCGCGAAAGCGUGGGUAGCAAACAGGAUUAGAUACCCUGGUAGUCCACGCCGUAAACGAUGAGAACUAGGUGUAA